AUUGAACGCUGGCGGCAUGCCUUACACAUGCAAGUCGAACGGCAGCACGUGAGCAAUCCUGGUGGCGAGUGGCGAACGGGUGAGUAAAGUAUCGGAACGUGCCCAGUCUGGGGGGAUAACGUCGCGAAAGUUACGCUAAUACCGCAUAGGAUCUAUGGAUGAAAGCGGGGGAUCGCAACACCUUGUCCGAUGGGAGCGGCCCAUAUCUGAUUAGGUAGUUGGUGGGGUAAAGGCUCAAGAAGCCGACGAUCUGUAGCUGGUCUGAGUGGAAGACCAGCCACACUGGGACUGAGACACGGCCCAGACUCCUACGGGAGGAAGCAGUGGAGAAUUUUGGACAAUGGGCGAAAGCCUGAUCCAGCCAUGCCGCGUGCAGGAUGAAGGCCUUCGGGUUGUAAACUGCUUUUGUACGGAACGAAAAGGUUUGGCCUAAUAAGCUGAGCUCAUGACGGUACCGUAAGAAUAAGCACCGGCUAACUACGUGCCAGCCGCCGCUGUAA
Molecule: ribosomal RNA, 500 nt
Filed under: uncultured bacterium
Lineage: Bacteria
Description: partial 16S ribosomal RNA
Rfam family: Bacterial small subunit ribosomal RNA
Source: RNAcentral